This 253-nucleotide ribosomal RNA is filed under the name uncultured bacterium. Its description in RNAcentral is "partial 16S ribosomal RNA". It matches the Rfam family "Bacterial small subunit ribosomal RNA", at positions 524 to 776 of the family's 1533-position model. RNAcentral also lists the same sequence under 1 other name. The record is from RNAcentral.
UACAGAGGGGGCAAGCGUUGUUCGGAAUUACUGGGCGUAAAGGGCGCGUAGGCGGCCUGUUAAGUCGGACGUGAAAUCCCUCGGCUCAACCGGGGAACUGCGUCCGAUACUGGCGGGCUUGAAUUCGGGAGAGGGAUGUGGAAUUCCAGGUGUAGCGGUGAAAUGCGUAGAUAUCUGGAGGAACACCGGUGGCGAAGGCGGCAUCCUGGACCGACAUUGACGCUGAGGCGCGAAAGCCAGGGGAGCAAACGGG